RNAcentral lists this ribosomal RNA (457 nucleotides) under Streptococcus constellatus. Its description in RNAcentral is "bacterial SSU rRNA". It matches the Rfam family "Bacterial small subunit ribosomal RNA", at positions 28 to 464 of the family's 1533-position model. The record is from RNAcentral. Lineage: Bacteria; Bacillati; Bacillota; Bacilli; Lactobacillales; Streptococcaceae.
GACGAACGCUGGCGGCGUGCCUAAUACAUGCAAGUAGAACGCACAGGAUGCACCGUAGUUUACUACACCGUAUUCUGUGAGUUGCGAACGGGUGAGUAACGCGUAGGUAACCUGCCUGGUAGCGGGGGAUAACUAUUGGAAACGAUAGCUAAUACCGCAUAAGAACAUUUACUGCAUGGUAGAUGUUUAAAAGGUGCAAAAGCAUCACUACCAGAUGGACCUGCGUUGUAUUAGCUAGUUGGUGAGGUAACGGCUCACCAAGGCAACGAUACAUAGCCGACCUGAGAGGGUGAUCGGCCACACUGGGACUGAGACACGGCCCAGACUCCUACGGGAGGCAGCAGUAGGGAAUCUUCGGCAAUGGGGGGAACCCUGACCGAGCAACGCCGCGUGAGUGAAGAAGGUUUUCGGAUCGUAAAGCUCUGUUGUUAAGGAAGAACGUGUGUGAGAGUGGAAA